CCCUUAGAUGUUCUGGGCCGCACGCGUGCUACACUGAGUGGAUCAGCGGGUCAGGUUGCGCGAAAGCGUUUCCUAAUCUUUAAAUCCGCUCGUGAUGGGGAUUGACGGUUGCAAUUUUCUGUCAUGAACGAGGAAUACCUUGUAAGCGCGGGUCAUCAUCCCGCGCUGAAUACGUCCCUGCCCUUUGUACACACCGCCCGUCGCACCUACCGAUUGAAUGACUCGGUGAAAAAUUGGGACCGUGAGUCUGUUUGCUUCAUUGCGAGUGGAUUGAUGGGAACUUUUUUAAACCUCGCCAUUUAGAGGAAGGUGAAGUCGUAACA
Molecule: ribosomal RNA, 323 nt
Filed under: uncultured eukaryote
Lineage: Eukaryota
Description: partial 18S ribosomal RNA
Rfam family: Eukaryotic small subunit ribosomal RNA
Source: RNAcentral